Molecule: ribosomal RNA, 385 nt
Filed under: uncultured microorganism
Description: bacterial SSU rRNA
Rfam family: Archaeal small subunit ribosomal RNA
Source: RNAcentral
GCGCAGCAGGCGAGAAACCUUCGCAAUGCAGGAAACUGCGACGAGGGAACUCCAAGUGCCUACGCUCAGCGUAGGCUGUUCUCAAGCCUAGAAAGCUUGAGGAGUAAGGGCUGGGUAAGACGGGUGCCAUCUGUGGUAGCAGUCAAUAGAUUCGAUUUGUUACUGCAAGGCAUAAGCCGCCGCGGUAAUACCCGGCAGCCCAAGUGGUGGCCGCUUUUAUUGGGCCUAAAGCGUCCGUAGCCGGCCCGGUAAAUGCCUGGGUAAAUCGUAGGAGCCCCAACGUUCACGAAUUCCGGGUAGACUGCCCGAGCUCGGGACCGGAAGAGGGAGAGGGUACUUCAGGGGUAGGGUGAAAAGUUUCCUUCCAUUAACGCUUUGCGCGAAG